RNAcentral lists this ribosomal RNA (508 nucleotides) under uncultured bacterium. RNAcentral's name for it is "partial 16S ribosomal RNA". It matches the Rfam family "Bacterial small subunit ribosomal RNA", at positions 28 to 507 of the family's 1533-position model. The record is from RNAcentral.
GACGAACGCUGGCGGCGUGCCUAAUACAUGCAAGUCGAACGCUUCUUUCCUCCCGAGUGCUUGCACUCAAUUGGAAAGAGGAGUGGCGGACGGGUGAGUAACACGUGGGUAACCUACCCAUCAGAGGGGGAUAACACUUGGAAACAGGUGCUAAUACCGCAUAACAGUUUAUGCCGCAUGGCAUAAGAGUGAAAGGCGCUUUCGGGUGUCGUUGAUGGAUGGACCCGCGGUGCAUUAGCUAGUUGGUGAGGUAACGGCUCACCAAGGCCACGAUGCAUAGCCGACCUGAGAGGGUGAUCGGCCACACUGGGACUGAGACACGGCCCAGACUCCUACGGGAGGCAGCAGUAGGGAAUCUUCGGCAAUGGACGAAAGUCUGACCGAGCAAUGCCGCGUGAGUGAAGAAGGUUUUCGGAUCGUAAAACUCUGUUGUUAGAGAAGAACAAGGACGUUAGUAACUGAACGUCCCCUGACGGUAUCUAACCAGAAAGCCACGGCUAACUACGUG